UACAGAGGUCCCCAAGCGUUUGUUCGGAUUCAUUGGGCGUAAAGGGUGCGUAGGCGGCGCGGUAAGUCGGGUGUGAAAUCUCGGAGCUUAACUCCGAAACUGCAUUCGAUACUGCCGUGCUUGAGGACUGGAGAGGAGACUGGAAUUUACGGUGUAGCGGUGAAAUGCGUAGAUAUCGUAAGGAAGACCAGUGGCGAAGGCGGGGUCUCUGGACAGUUCCUGACGCUGAGGCACGAAGGCCAGGGGAGCAAACGGG
RNAcentral lists this ribosomal RNA (256 nucleotides) under uncultured bacterium. RNAcentral's name for it is "partial 16S ribosomal RNA". It matches the Rfam family "Bacterial small subunit ribosomal RNA", at positions 524 to 776 of the family's 1533-position model. The record is from RNAcentral.